AUAUGAAAAAAAAAACAAUCACUCUUAACUAGGGAUGGUAGAAAAAUCUGUACCGACGGGUAGCGGGUAUUUUAAUAUCCGCUUGUUAACGGGUCGGGUUCAGGUAUCACCCUAUCCAUACCCGUGAGUACCCGCUACUUGUUUAAAAACCAAAAUUCUAAUUUUACCCCUAACUAUUUUAUGAAAUUAAAAAAUAAGUUAAAAUAUAUGUUUUUAAUUUUGCCUCGGUGGUGGUGAAAAGGUCUCUUCUUCUUCUUUCUUCUUCUCUCUCACACUUCCUUCCCUUCUUCUUUCUUCUUCUUUCUUUUUUUCUCUCACACUUCCUUCCCUUCUUCUUUCUUCUUCUCUCUUCUCUCUCAAACUUUCUUUCCCUUCUUCUUUCCCCACCUACCAAUAACAAGAAUCACACACCGCAAAGACCUCACGGUACUGUUGUCACUGUUUGUAGCUUCUUCUUCCACCAUUCACGGCUCCGCCCACGGCCAACGGUGAAGCCAGCCAACAGUAGGUGAUCUCGACAGUGAAGCCAGCCAGCAGCAUCAGGAUCAUCCCGUUCGCAGAGCUUGAGAGGCUGAACCACAUAGGGAGCGGCGACGAGAGGCAGAUCUAAGAUUUUUUGGUAUAGAUUUGAGAUACUUUAGUGCAGAUCUGAGAUCCUUAAGUGCAUAUCUGAGAUGUUUUGAUGCAGAUUUGAAAUAUUUUGAUGUAUAUCUGAGUUUGAAGUAAAGAUCUAGGGUUUAUAAGUUUUGAAAAAUAAAGAAAAAUAGAUUUUGGGUCAAAAUUUGAGUUUGGG
This 793-nucleotide long non-coding RNA is filed under the name Vigna radiata. Its description in RNAcentral is "long non-coding RNA (VRAD_LNC010307)". Lineage: Eukaryota; Viridiplantae; Streptophyta; Magnoliopsida; Fabales; Fabaceae. The record is from RNAcentral.